AUACGGAGGGUGCAAGCGUUACUCGGAAUCACUGGGCGUAAGGCGCGCGCAGGCGGCUAUUUAAGUUGGAUGUGAAAGCCUACGGCUCAACCGUAGAACUGCAUCCAAAACUAUUUAGCUAGAGUGUGGGAGAGGAAGAUGGAAUUAGUUGUGUAGGGGUAAAAUCCGUAGAGAUAACUAGGAAUACCAAAAGCGAAGGCAAUCUUCUGGAACACUACUGACGCUGAGGCGCGAAAGCGUGGGGAGCAAACAGGAUUAGAUACCCUUGUAGUCC
This 274-nucleotide ribosomal RNA is filed under the name uncultured bacterium. Its description in RNAcentral is "partial 16S ribosomal RNA". It matches the Rfam family "Bacterial small subunit ribosomal RNA", at positions 523 to 796 of the family's 1533-position model. The record is from RNAcentral.